UUCCAAAGAGCCUGGGACUAGGUCAUUGU
This 29-nucleotide non-coding RNA is filed under the name Mus musculus (house mouse). Lineage: Eukaryota; Metazoa; Chordata; Mammalia; Rodentia; Muridae. The record is from RNAcentral.